UCGUAUCCGAGAAUAGGAAACGUCGGGACUUUCCUAUAUUUGACAUACAAAAUGUCGAGUGCAAUGUUGUCCGAGCGUAUAAUACGUAUGAGUUCUUGCCAUGUCCGUUUCGCUGGCGUAACAAUAAUAUAACUCGUAGCUGUAGACGUCUACGUCCGCCACGUGUGACAGUGCACAAAGUCUAUACGAAUGGAACCUUCUAGAACUUUCGACGUACGCGAGCGGAGUGUGUCCUGGGUUGGCUGCGAAUGGGAUCAAGGGUUCGCUCGAGAUACUCCAAAAUGGUUAACCGAGUGGCGGCUGCAAAUAACCAUCCUCCUAGACCUUGCUGUAUCUAUGUUGCAUAGACUGCCUAAGGUACCUUGAGGUAUACGGGUGUACGUGCUUAUGGCUGGAGCCUUGAAUGUGAGCGGGGCGAGCUUCUUCGUGUCUUUAAAAAUGCAAAAUCAAAUCGCGCUGGCCAACCUAUCUGGGAAUCAUUUGUAAGCCAGCCUUUACCCACUGCGAACGUCUUCAAUGGAUAUUGGAUCUAACAAAUAACGCCGGCAAUGGCAUCGUCUUUAUCU
Molecule: long non-coding RNA, 566 nt
Organism: Cephus cinctus (wheat stem sawfly)
Lineage: Eukaryota; Metazoa; Arthropoda; Insecta; Hymenoptera; Cephidae
Exons: 3
Source: RefSeq, a predicted model, not a curated record